Molecule: small RNA, 748 nt
Filed under: Pongo abelii (Sumatran orangutan)
Lineage: Eukaryota; Metazoa; Chordata; Mammalia; Primates; Hominidae
Description: retained intron
Source: RNAcentral
CCGGAGCCGGGAGCGCCGCUCCAGCGAGGCGCGGGCUGUGGGGCCGCCGCGUGCCUGGCCCCGCUCGCCCGUGCCGGCCGCUCGCCCGCCAUGCCUGGCUUCGACUACAAGUUCUUGGAGAAGCCCAAGCGACGGCUGCUAUGCCCACUGUGCGGGAAGCCCAUGCGCGAGCCUGUGCAGGUUUCCACCUGCGGCCACCGUUUCUGCGACACCUGCCUGCAGGAGUUCCUCAGGAGUCUUCAAGUGCCCUGAGGACCAGCUUCCUCUGGACUAUGCCAAGGUGAGUCCACACUGCCAGGAAGAAGCCCAAGCACAGUCUGUUGCCCUUGGAGGCCGGAGCUGCUGGCAGCCAGUGGGCUCAGGGCCAGUGUCAACCAAAAGCCUUGGGAUGGUGCGCCUCCACAAAGGUAGCCUAUUCCCUCCCACCAGGCCAGUUUGCAAACGAGGCCCCUGUUUGCCCUGGAGGGCAGGCACAAUGCCCAGCCUGUAGGGGUGCACAGAGCUGCUCUGUGCCCACAAGAAGUGUUCCCUCCCCUUCCGGUGGCAAGCCAGACCUGUGGCUGAGGGCCAGUAUCCCUCCACCAGGGGGAAGGAAGCAGAGCCCCGGGGACAGCCUGGGAUCGAGCAGGCUGAUUGGCUGCCUCUUCAAAGGAAGCGUCCUGUGCAGGCAUGUUAGGACCCAGCAUCAGAGCAGAUGCUGCCUGCUGUGCCCUUCAUCCCUGGACUCAAGAGGGGCAAAGAGCCCAAG